CUGCACGAUGUGAGUAAAAUGAUAAAUAAAUGUUUUCUAAAAUUACGCUACGGUAUCGUGCACAAUGUUGGUAAAACGAUAAAUAAAUGUUUUCUACAACGAUUCUUGCACCACUAGAUUUUUUGUUUGUUGAUUAUCAAAAUUAAUUUUGACACUAGCCAUGUUUCCUGGAUUGAGAGGAAGGUCUCACCUUACUAAAAGAACAAUUAUCUUUCCCAUGCCCUUGUUGUUGUGGAUCUUUGGAAGUUAUGAGCAUGCACGACUUUAGCUAUUUGCUCACGUACUAUCACUGGUUCCAGUUUUCCACCGUCAUUAAUGGGCUUUGCUCAUUCAAAAGGUGAUCUGGAAUUGAUUCUGUCCAUAUCUCCACUCAAGCUUUCUCCUUUUUGCAUAUUAAUUGUUGUGUAAUUCCUUUUCUGAUUGGCUUUUCCCUUACCCAAUUUUUUUCAUGGUUCGUACAACAGCUAUCGUGCCACGAGAACUUUUGUUUGCUAAUUCUCAAAAUUAAUUUUGCCACUCGCCAUGCAUGUUUCCUAGGUUAUGGCUAGGGCUUACAUGAACAACUAUUUAGGUAGCCUUCGGCCAGCUUGCCAUGUUACCCACUUGGAUUAUCCUGCACGGGUUCUUCAACCACCU
Molecule: long non-coding RNA, 636 nt
Filed under: Glycine max (soybean)
Lineage: Eukaryota; Viridiplantae; Streptophyta; Magnoliopsida; Fabales; Fabaceae
Description: long non-coding RNA (GMAX_LNC003835)
Source: RNAcentral